This 482-nucleotide ribosomal RNA is filed under the name uncultured bacterium. Its description in RNAcentral is "partial 16S ribosomal RNA". It matches the Rfam family "Bacterial small subunit ribosomal RNA", at positions 28 to 523 of the family's 1533-position model. The record is from RNAcentral.
AGUGAACGUUGGCGGCGUGGAUUAGGCAUGCGAGUCGAGCGAGAACCGUAGCAAUACGGGGACAGCGGCGAAAGGGACAGUAAUAUGUAGGUACCUACCCUCGGGUCCGGGAUAGCUACGGGAAACUGCAGGUAAUACCGGACGACAUCUCCGGAUCAAAGGUGUGAUUCCGCCCGGGGAGGGGCCUGCAUCCUAUUAGCUUGUUGGUGGGGUAACGGCCUACCAAGGCGACGAUGGGUAGCGGGUGUGAGAGCAUGACCCGCGUCAUUGGGACUGAGACACUGCCCAGACACCUACGGGUGGCUGCAGUCGAGAAUCUUCGGCAAUGGGGGCAACCCUGACCGAGCGACGCCGCGUGCGGGAUGAAGGCCUUCGGGUUGUAAACCGCUGUCGUAGAGGAGGAAAUGCAGGGGGGUUCUCCCCUCUGUUUGACCUAUUCUAGGAGGAAGGACGGGCUAAGUUCGUGCCAGCCGCCGCCGUAA